This 2400-nucleotide long non-coding RNA is filed under the name Salmo salar (Atlantic salmon). RNAcentral describes it as "lncRNA (ENSSSAG00000090259.1, ENSSSAG00000105964.1)". The record is from RNAcentral. Lineage: Eukaryota; Metazoa; Chordata; Actinopteri; Salmoniformes; Salmonidae.
CGCGAACUGCACGCUGCAGUCAGGGGCUUCUCAGCAAGUCGCAGCAAUGCAAAAUGUAGUGUGUGUGCGUUCACACGAAUGGGGGGAGAAUUUUGGCAGGGGAGAGAUUUUCGGCACAACACCGCCAAAUCGUACCAAUAUAUCCUUCAAACACCGGCGUCGAGGGCAUUAUCACUUUUAUACAACUCAAAUAAUGAUCGAAAUAUUUUCAUUCAAAACGUUAUUUUUUAUUAAUUUAUAAUUUCAUCCUUACACAAGAUAUAGUCCCGAGACCAAUCUAGGGUUGCUAACCAAGCCGGCUGGGCGUUCGUUCUAUUGGUUUGGUUGCCAGAGACGCGACCCAGUUGUUCAGUCUUUUUGUUCUGUAUCUAUGGGCACGACCCAGUCGUUCAUUCUAAAUGUUCCAUUGCCUUACUGGCUGGCAACGUCCUUAUCCCUUGCUUGCUAGCUAGCCAAUUUACAGUCACGUCAAACAGUGCAGACAGAAAAACAACAGUAGCUGCAUUUGUUUAAGCUGUUUUCUAGUGACAUUUAUUUGGAUUCAUCCAUAACAAUGAGCUAAUGUUAUGUGAGGCGCGAUUUCGUCAGGACACUUGUUCAGAGGAGCUAGCCAACACAAUCACUUCACAUUUUAACUGGAAAGACUGCAAACUACAGUAGCUGCACUUUUUUUCAAUUGCCAUUUUGUGAUGCCAGCUGAUUCAUGAUUUCGACUGGCUGAGAAACGCUGCCUGCCUGUCAAUCUCGUCCCGACUCGUUCAUUACUAUGGGACAGCUGUAGAUUGAAUUUGAAUAUUGAAACAAUAUUGCAAAUAUCGGAGAGACAGACAGCAAGGUUUAUACAAAUUGACUUCAGGGUGCAGUUCGCGGCCGGGCUCAAUGUGGGCGGAGUCAAACGUCGGGGCCGGGCUCAAUGUGGGCGGAGUCAAACGCGUUUAACCCAAAACCUUCCCGUCUCCUUCGAGGUCAAGCAAGUUGAGAAACAUUCCUCGGAUCUUGUCCCCUGGACCUUGGAGGACUUUUGUGGAUGAUGAUCAGGGCCUACCAAAGCAAGGUUUCUCAAACAACUGUGGGGUGUUUGUUUUGAUGGAAAACAUGCAGCAAAUUAGGCGAUGUUGAUGCCUUAUUCUCCUGCAGAACUUUCCCAUGCCACGAUACUCAAAACAAAAUGCACGCCGAACUGGGAGCUGUGAACUGGGAAGCAGAUGUUCUUCUAAGGGACACCCUAGAGGCAGCAAGGUGAUGUGAACUCCAAACAUUUAAAGGCACUGUUUCCCUCCCUAGUGUAAUUGGGAUGGAAGGGGAAGACCGCAUUACAACCCUUAAAGAACUACAGUUGUAUGAUGGCCUGGAUGAAGAGAAAAAUGUUCUCCUCAAGGAACCAUUCAUGUUACAGAGAGAUUAUGAGUUGUUCUAUUUGGAGGCAGUUGACAACAAGAAAAUUACUGUCUUUGUCUCUUUUGAGGAGCAAAGCCAUUUUUGAGGAGUGGUUAAACUUUGUCUGCUGUGUUAAUUGUUUCAAUUGUUAAUUGUGUUGUUUAGUAAAGAUGACGUAGAAGUCAGCCGAGUCUGAUCUCUUUACUGGAGCUGGUAUAACUUAAUGUGCAAAGCACAUUCAGCUUGUCAGUAUAUCUAUAUGGUAUAGUCUGUCUCCAUUCUCAUGAGGAAAGUAAAUAACAUUAUAAAUCAGGAUGGGUAGUAACUGUGUGUAUAUAUGCUCAAUUAAAUAAUAUAAUUACAAAGUUAUAACAUUUAUCAACACAAUUUUAACAGUACAUAACAAGUCUGCUGUUCACUGCAACAAUUUCAGUAGUUUGUCUCAAAUAUAGUAUGACGCAAAAAGUGUUACAUCUGCUGGUACUUUAUAUAAUAUUUCUUACAAUCUUCAAAAAUGAAAUAUGUUUUUAUUCAACUUGUGCCUUGCGCAAAUGAGUGUUACUGUCAAACAUCAGAUGGACAAUAAAAAGGUGGGCAGGGUCAAAUGUGGGCAGAGUCAAACGUUUGACUCCGCCCACAUUGAACCCAGCCCCGAACUGCACACUGCAGUCAGGGGUACGUGGACUUGCUUGCUAGUUGAGAUUUCUGCUCUUCACUCCAUUGUCAGUUUAGCCUACAUUUCACUGAUCUUAGUAGCAGAAAGUAUUUUUUAUAUGUGUCCUUCAAGGCAGCUGUCAAUGAUCACGUUAGGCUGCGUUUCAUUUGAUUUGUUAUGGCGGUUUGAUCGCGGAGGAGGCACUAGUAAUGUCUGCAGUUUUCGGUUUGUCAUUUUGUUUCAAGUGUAUUAGUCUAUAAAUAAAUCUCUUUGCCAAAAUUCAUCUCUCCCAUGUCUUAUUCAACUAGUAGUUGUUCUGAAAUGUUUGCUUGCCUACAUUUUACUCGGUUUAAUACAACACACAUUAA